This 253-nucleotide ribosomal RNA is filed under the name uncultured bacterium. RNAcentral's name for it is "partial 16S ribosomal RNA". It matches the Rfam family "Bacterial small subunit ribosomal RNA", at positions 524 to 776 of the family's 1533-position model. The record is from RNAcentral.
UACGUAGGGUCCGAGCGUUGUCCGGAAUUAUUGGGCGUAAAGAGCUCGUAGGCGGUCUGUUGCGUCGGCUGUGAAAACCCGGGGCUCAACUCCGGGCCUGCAGUCGAUACGGGCAGACUAGAGUUCGGUAGGGGAGACUGGAAUUCCUGGCGUAGCGGUGAAAUGCGCAGAUAUCAGGAGGAACACCGGUGGCGAAGGCGGGUCUCUGGGCCGAAACUGACGCUGAGGAGCGAAAGCGUGGGGAGCAAACAGG